Xenia sp. Carnegie-2017 is the source of this 2106-nucleotide long non-coding RNA. RefSeq lists it as uncharacterized. NCBI's taxonomy places the organism in Eukaryota, Metazoa, Cnidaria, Anthozoa, Malacalcyonacea, Xeniidae. The transcript has 3 exons. The record is from RefSeq and is a predicted model, not a curated record.
GCAUAUUUAUUGGCAUAAUUGAUAAAUUUCCCGUGGUAUUGUCUCUGGUCACGAACGUAUUUCACCAGAGAUAAAUAGGCACUGUUGAAAGAAGAAGUCAUUUAAAACUUUUAAUACACCUACAUUUACAAUGUCCAAUCGAACACAGUCCAAUUUAAAGAUGAUUAUCACAGUUCCCAUGUGUACCUACAACAUUGGUUCAGCUCACUAUAACCGUCGUGUUUAUCAUAGAUAAUUGUGUUUGUGUAGACACCACCAGAUCAAGGAUAGAGUGGUCUUUGUGAGGAGAAUACCGGUCAUAAUAAUGUCAAGAGGAACUAGUUGAUGCAAGAGAGUGAUCGUAGUUUACCAGUUUUCUUCCGAUAAGAUAUCUACAAACAAAAUAACGAUUUUCUUGUUAACAUUUCUGGCAAAAUCACAAAAAUAUGUAAUAAGGAAAAAAGGGGGUGAAGGGGCAAUGAUGUUGUACGAUAUUGUGCAAGGAGAAAGAAAUUUUCGUAAUGACUUCCUUAGUUGGAGCAUCUCUAAAGAUUUCAAGCCUGUUAUAUUAUUCUCUGCUCGAAAUUUCUGAAAAUGUGAUUACGUAUAGGAAAACAUUUUCCGAAGAAUAUUGCUUUGAGGAAGCGAUCGAACGUCAUCAACAUGAACACUUAUCAUCGCCUUCACGAUAGGAAAUUGUUUGUCGAUUGCCAGUGGAGAAAGUGCUUUAAUCAAGAACACCUCGUCUGCUUUAUUGUGUGACGUAUUUUAUAAGAGCAUAUUAGAGUCUGAGUGAUUUUGGAUUAGUGAUAUGACAUAAAACAUAAAGAAGAAAAUGCUGGCAUUAAAGGCUACCGGUAAACCGAAGUUGUUUUGCUUAAAGUGACAACUAUCUAAACUAUAAAAUUCACAAGCGUUGUCAUAAACUGCUGCUGUGAAACGAUUAUGAAAACAAUAAAAAAUCGUAAAAACUGCAAAUACAACAUUACUUUUAUCUUACUUCAGACAACGAAAGUUGAUCAAAUGUGUUUGUCGUAGUUAAAUUAAAAGGAUCAUACUCCACCUAUUCUGCUACACAUAAACAUGUUUCUCUAUGGCAAAGUGCAUAUUUUACUACCACCACGACAAGAAUGGAUUGUUGGUGAAACUUUGAAGUAUUGGUCUGAUGUGAUAACAGAAGACAAACUUAUGGAUUUUGAAAGAAGUGUGAAAGCCGAAAGAGAUCAAUGAAUUCAAAACUCUUUGUAGUCUAAAAAAAGAUGUCUAGAAAUGCUAUUUUUACAUCGUUUCCUUGGAAACAUUACGCAAGAGACGAUUGACGACGUCAGGAAAGCUUCAAACCGUGAAAUCUCUAGUUCUUUACUCAUUGCAAUUAAUUAUAAAACCUGUGAAAGUUGAAAUUAUUGGUACACGCAAGCGAAAAUGAAUGAAGUUGGUUUAAAAUUGCUUCAUCAAUAUUGGGCACUCUCCAAAACACCAUUGUUAACAAUAUUGAUAUUAUGAAUGUUUUAUAAGUUGAUAUUCAAUUGAUAUUCAUUUAAUAUUGAUAUUGUUGGUCAAACUUGGUGCAGAAGUAGUGGAACACGGUUUAAUUUCAUGUUUCUAGGGUGCAACACAUUAUUGUUCCAAAUUGAUUAGAUGAAAACCAAGAGGAAAAGCCAACCGGAUUGGACAUUAUUUUUUAUAAGUGUGAAUGUACGAAUGAACCUCUAAUUUCCCAUAAGAUUAUAUAUAAAUGUAGUUAUCACAAAAACUUUACCAAAUUCAAUUAUGACAGCAAGCUCAAAAUGAUCCAACAAAGUUAUUCUCAUGAAAGACGCAAUGAUUUCAAAAAUAUAAACACCUCGUUAGUUUUACAUAUAGAGACGAUGAACAGUACCGGUGAACUGUUAAACUGUCAAUGAGAAAGGAUUUAUAAACAGAUUGUAUCGUGAUAAUACAAAGACACUCGCAUGGGAAGCUCGGAAAACCGCCCAUUUUUUUUUAAUUGACCAAAUUAGUCUAUUAAAAUAAAAUCAUAUUAUACUUCAGGCUAUAUGAAGAAAAAUUCUUGUAAUUCCUUCAUUUAGAAUGGUCCAACAUUAAUUAACAGCGUGUUAUAAAGUAAAUCAUGAUUUCAAAGUCCAA